UGGGGAAUAUUGCACAAUGGAGGAAACUCUGAUGCAGCGACGCCGCGUGAGUGAAGAAGUAUUUCGGUAUGUAAAGCUCUAUCAGCAGGGAAGACAGUGACGGUACCUGACUAAGAAGCUCCGGCUAAAUACGUGCCAGCAGCCGCGGUAAUACGUAUGGAGCAAGCGUUAUCCGGAUUUACUGGGUGUAAAGGGAGUGUAGGUGGCAUCACAAGUCAGAAGUGAAAACCCGUGGCUCAACCGCGGAACUGCUUUUGAAACUGUGGGGCUGGAGUGCAGGAGAGGCAAGUGGAAUUCCUAGUGUAGCGGUGAAAUGCGUAGAUAUUAGGAGGAACACCAGUGGCGAAGGCGGCUUGCUGGACUGUAACUGACACUGAGGCUCGAAAGCGUGGGGAGCAAACAGGAUUAGAUACC
This 414-nucleotide ribosomal RNA is filed under the name uncultured bacterium. RNAcentral's name for it is "bacterial SSU rRNA". It matches the Rfam family "Bacterial small subunit ribosomal RNA", at positions 355 to 786 of the family's 1533-position model. The record is from RNAcentral.